This 107-nucleotide small nuclear RNA is filed under the name Carlito syrichta (Philippine tarsier). The record is from RNAcentral. Lineage: Eukaryota; Metazoa; Chordata; Mammalia; Primates; Tarsiidae.
AUGCUAGCUUUGUCAAUACUUAUACUAAAAUUGGAACAUUUCAGAACAGAUUAGCAUGGCCCUUGUGCAAAAAUUACGUACAAAUUCGAGAAGCAGUCUACAUUUUU